RNAcentral lists this long non-coding RNA (456 nucleotides) under Heterocephalus glaber (naked mole-rat). RNAcentral's name for it is "lncRNA (ENSHGLG00100034778.1)". The record is from RNAcentral. Lineage: Eukaryota; Metazoa; Chordata; Mammalia; Rodentia; Bathyergidae.
CGCGGAUCUGCUUACUUUCUGACGUAGUUUCUGGAGCGAGGCAGUCGCUGUGCGGAGGAUUUUCAGGACGUUUGUACCGACUGAAGUUUCCUCUUUUGAGAGCUGGCCUGCUUUGAGGGGAAUCCUUUCCUACCAGAAAAAUAUCAGCAGCACAGAAGAGACAUACUGUGGUAACGUGUGUGACAAUGGAGGAGCUGGGGACAGCCAGAUCCACUGAGCAGGGAGAAGAUAGUAACAAAUAAGCAGAGAGCAAGAAUGAAGAUAAUACACAGGGCCAGAGGACCCAGAGAAGUUAGAGAAGCUGUAUCCAUUUAGACAGUGGUCAAGGGAGGGCCUUCUCUGGCUGCAAAGAGCUGCAGGUGUGGAGAGAGGUCAGGAAGAGCCAGCGCUGAGGCCAGAGCGGUGUGUACGGGCGUUUGGAGGAACAGGAGGGAGGGGUGCAUGUGAGGGCUGCAG